AGGGGCGUAGCUCAGUUGGCUAGAGCGUCGGUCUCCAAAACCGAAGGCCGGGGGUUCGAGUCCCUCCGCCCCUGCCA
This 77-nucleotide transfer RNA is filed under the name Chloroflexota bacterium. RNAcentral's name for it is "Chloroflexi bacterium tRNA-Trp". It matches the Rfam family "tRNA". From Rfam's summary of the family: Transfer RNA (tRNA) molecules are approximately 80 nucleotides in length. RNAcentral also lists the same sequence under 2 other names. The record is from RNAcentral. Lineage: Bacteria; Bacillati; Chloroflexota.